CUGCUGCCUUCCGUAGGAGUUUGGGCCGUGUCUCAGUCCCAAUGUGGCCGUUCACCCUCUCAGGCCGGCUACUGAUCGUCGCCUUGGUGGGCCGUUACCCCGCCAACCAGCUAAUCAGACGCGGGUCCAUCUUGCACCACCGGAGUUUUUCACACUGAGCCAUGCGGCUCUGUGCGCUUAUGCGGUAUUAGCACCUAUUUCUAAGUGUUAUCCCCCGGUGCAAGGCAGGUUCCCCACGCGUUACUCACCCGUCCGCCAA
Molecule: ribosomal RNA, 259 nt
Filed under: uncultured bacterium
Lineage: Bacteria
Description: partial 16S ribosomal RNA
Source: RNAcentral